This 497-nucleotide ribosomal RNA is filed under the name uncultured bacterium. RNAcentral's name for it is "partial 16S ribosomal RNA". It matches the Rfam family "Bacterial small subunit ribosomal RNA", at positions 28 to 507 of the family's 1533-position model. The record is from RNAcentral.
GAUGAACGCUGGCGGCGUGCCUAAUACAUGCAAGUCGAGCGAACAGACGUGGAGCUUGCUCCUCUGACGUUAGCGGCGGACGGGUGGGUAACACGUGGAUAACCUACCUAUAAGACUGGGAUAACUUCGGGAAACCGGAGCUAAUACCGGAUAAUAUAUUGAACCGCAUGGUUCAAUAGUGAAAGACGGUUUUGCUGUCACUUAUAGAUGGAUCCGCGCCGCAUUAGCUAGUUGGUAAGGUAACGGCUUACCAAGGCAACGAUGCGUAGCCGACCUGAGAGGGGUGUGCGGCAACCUGGAAACGGACACAGGGCCAGGCCUCAGCGGGGGGGCAGAGGAGGGAAUCUGCCCGAAGGGGGGAAAGGCCGGAGGAGGCAACACGGGGGGAUGAUGAAGGGCUUACGAACCUAAAAACUUUUUAAUUGGGAAGAAAAAAUGGGGAAGUAAAUGUUCCCCGCUUGAGGGAACCUAAUAAGAAAGCCAGGGCUAACCAGGUG